This is a long non-coding RNA of Drosophila sechellia, 483 nucleotides long. RefSeq lists it as uncharacterized. The record is from RefSeq and is a predicted model, not a curated record. NCBI's taxonomy places the organism in Eukaryota, Metazoa, Arthropoda, Insecta, Diptera, Drosophilidae. The transcript is spliced from 2 exons.
UUGGCAUAAUUAAAAACAUUGAUAAGUUUCAGUUAAAGCUAAUCAAUUUAGCACCAUAUCGGAAGGUAAGCAAUUAGCAAUCGGCUAGAUAAGAUGCAUUUCUUGAGGCCAGGAAAGUUCUGGUAGACUUUUAAUAGAUGGUCUACAUAAUACCCACUCGACUGCCUAAAGGUGACCCACAUAAGUCGCCACAUCUCGCCAAGGUUUUGAUUUGAUUCAGGGUCAAGAGAGAGACACCGCUUGACGCAUAUAUACAUACUUGACUACAUGGCGUCCGUGUCACAAAAAACACAUCAUUAUGUAAUUUUGACCCACCUGCGUUCCUUUGCCGGAGCCCGGCGGCCCCAGGAGAAUGGCGUUGAUCCCGAUGUUCUCCGGCUCAUAUCGCUCCACUGGUACUGCUGCAUUCGGCGCCAUCGUUAACUGUGUGCUCGACUGAUUAUUCGGGAAUCCUCCUAAUUCAUAGCCAAACGGAGCCAGAAA